AUGCUUGAUAUUAUGGCCUCGGGAUCCUUGGAGGGGAACACCAUCUCCUCAAAUAAAAGGCAAUCUGCAGAUAAUAAUACACUCCCUGGAGGUUUGUCCUCUAGUUCAGGAGGAUCAGAUAUGGUGGAUCGGGGCUCUACAGCACUUAUUAUAAGGGAGAAACCUACGGGGGUUCCACCACUCCCGCCGGUCUAUGUAUCCCCAAGGAAGGAAGUAAAAAGGCCAAAAAAGGGAGAUGGCAAGAGGAAUAUCCUGUUCUCUGACGAACAGGCUGCUGAACGGAAAGAGGACAAGGAAGCAAAUGGUGGGGAAAAAACUGAUAAGGAAAUUGCUGGAUCGGCGGGCUCCCUCGAGGAGUGCCGCCGGGCACAAUGA
RNAcentral lists this ribosomal RNA (375 nucleotides) under Triticum aestivum (bread wheat). RNAcentral's name for it is "partial small subunit ribosomal RNA". Lineage: Eukaryota; Viridiplantae; Streptophyta; Magnoliopsida; Poales; Poaceae. The record is from RNAcentral.